GACUCUCGACAACGGAUAUCUUGGCUCUUACAUCGAUGAAGAAUGUAGCGAAAUGUGAUACUUGGUGGGCACAUCUUCCUUGGCGUCAUGUUGUGCCCGAAGCUUUGAACGUAAGUUGCGCCCGAGGCCUUCUGGCUAAGAGCACAUCUUCCUUGGCGUCA
RNAcentral lists this ribosomal RNA (161 nucleotides) under Cucumis melo (muskmelon). RNAcentral's name for it is "5.8S ribosomal RNA". It matches the Rfam family "5.8S ribosomal RNA". Rfam says of the family: 5.8S ribosomal RNA (5.8S rRNA) is a component of the large subunit of the eukaryotic ribosome. It is transcribed by RNA polymerase I as part of the 45S precursor that also contains 18S and 28S rRNA. Functionally, it is thought that 5.8S rRNA may be involved in ribosome translocation. The record is from Rfam by way of RNAcentral. Lineage: Eukaryota; Viridiplantae; Streptophyta; Magnoliopsida; Cucurbitales; Cucurbitaceae. RNAcentral also lists the same sequence under 1 other name.